AGUGGCAGACGGGUGAGUAAUGUAUAGGAAUCUACCUAGUAGUACGGAAUAAUUGUUGGAAACGGCAACUAAUACCGUAUACGCCCUACGGGGGAAAGAUUUAUCGCUAUUAGAUGAGCCUAUAUUAGAUUAGCUAGUUGGUAAGGUAAUGGCUUACCAAGGCAAUGAUCUAUAGCUGAUCUGAGAGGAUGAUCAGCCACACUGGAACUGAGAUACGGUCCAGACUCCUACGGGAGGCAGCAGUGGGGAAUAUUGGACAAUGGGCGAAAGCCUGAUCCAGCCAUGCCGCAUGAGUGAAGAAGGCCUUUGGGUUGUAAAGCUCUUUCGGUGAGGAAGAUAAUGACGGUACUCACAGAAGAAGUCCUGGCUAACUCCGUGCCAGCAGCCGCGGUAAUACGGAGAGGGCUAGCGUUAUUCGGAAUUAUUGGGCGUAAAGAGCGCGUAGGCUGGUUAGUAAGUUAAAAGUGAAAUCCCAAAGCUCAACUUUGGAAUUGCUUUUAAAACUGCUAACCUAGAGAUUGAAAGAGGAUAGAGGAAUUCCUAGUGUAGAGGUGAAAUUCGUAAAUAUUANGAGGAACACCAGUGGCGAA
This 590-nucleotide ribosomal RNA is filed under the name uncultured Wolbachia sp. RNAcentral's name for it is "bacterial SSU rRNA". It matches the Rfam family "Bacterial small subunit ribosomal RNA", at positions 94 to 719 of the family's 1533-position model. The record is from RNAcentral. Lineage: Bacteria; Pseudomonadati; Pseudomonadota; Alphaproteobacteria; Rickettsiales; Anaplasmataceae.